RNAcentral lists this ribosomal RNA (250 nucleotides) under uncultured bacterium. RNAcentral describes it as "partial 16S ribosomal RNA". It matches the Rfam family "Bacterial small subunit ribosomal RNA", at positions 524 to 773 of the family's 1533-position model. The record is from RNAcentral.
UACAUGGGGUGCAAACGUUGCUCGGAAUUAUUGGGCGUAAAGCGCGCGUAGGCGGUCGCUUAAGUCGGAUGUGAAAUCCCUCGGCUUAACUGAGGAAGUGCAUCCGAGACUGAGUGGCUAGAGUAUGAAAGAGGGUCGCGGAAUUCCCGGUGUAGAGGUGAAAUUCGUAGAUAUCGGGAGGAACACCGGCGGCGAAGGCGGCGACCUGGUUCAAGACUGACGCUGAGGCGCGAAAGCGUGGGGAGCAAAC